UAGGGGUGCGGUGGCCGGUGACCUCCUCGUGGUGCACCCUGGAAACUCCCCACCUUCUGUGGGGAGGCUAACAACCGGCC
Molecule: non-coding RNA, 80 nt
Filed under: Papilio xuthus (Asian swallowtail)
Lineage: Eukaryota; Metazoa; Arthropoda; Insecta; Lepidoptera; Papilionidae
Source: RNAcentral